Molecule: ribosomal RNA, 329 nt
Filed under: uncultured eukaryote
Lineage: Eukaryota
Description: LSU rRNA
Rfam family: Bacterial large subunit ribosomal RNA
Source: RNAcentral
AGGCUUUGAAACCGGGACGCUAGUUUCGGUGGAGCCGUCCUUGAAAUACCACCCUGGUUUGUUUGAGGUUCUAACCUUGGCCCGUGAAUCCGGGUCGGGGACAGUGCAUGGUAGGCAGUUUGACUGGGGCGGUCUCCUCCCAAAGUGUAACGGAGGAGUUCGAAGGUACGCUUGGUACGGUCGGACAUCGUACCUAAAGUGCAAUGGCAAAAGCGUGCUUAACUGCGAGACCGACAAGUCGAGCAGGUGCGAAAGCAGGACAUAGUGAUCCGGUGGUUCUGUAUGGAAGGGCCAUCGCUCAACGGAUAAAAGGUACUCUAGGGAUAACA